Molecule: ribosomal RNA, 498 nt
Filed under: uncultured bacterium
Lineage: Bacteria
Description: partial 16S ribosomal RNA
Rfam family: Bacterial small subunit ribosomal RNA
Source: RNAcentral
GACGAACGCUGGCGGCGUGCCUAAUACAUGCAAGUCGUGCGGACCUUUUAAAAGCUUGCUUUUAAAAGGUUAGCGGCGGACGGGUGAGUAACACGUGGGCAACCUGCCUGUAAGACUGGGAUAACGCCGGGAAACCGGGGCUAAUACCGGAUCGUUUUUCCUACGCAUGGGGGAAAAAGGAAAGGCGGCUUCGGCUGCCACUUACAGAUGGGCCCGCGGCGCAUUAGCUAGUUGGCGGGGUAACGGCCCACCAAGGCAACGAUGCGUAGCCGACCUGGGAGGGGGAACGGCCCACAUGGGACGGGGACACGGCCCAAACUCCUACGGGAGGCAGCAGUAGGGAAUCUUCCGGAAAGGGCGAAAGUCUGACGGGGCAACGCCGCGUGGGGGAAGAAGGCCUUCGGGUCGUAAAAAUCUGUUGCCGGGGAAGAACAAGUGCCGUUCGAACAGGGCGGCGCCUUGACGGUACCCGGCCAGAAAGCCACGGCUAACUACGUG